UUUGUCUCUGACUGAGUCAACAUGUUCCCAGCCCUCACCAUCAGUGUAUUUGCUCUCUGGCACACAGGUUGGAGCCAGACUGUGCUGAUCACCCAGUGGCCAGGCUACAUCUCCAGCCAGCCUGACGCCUCGGUGAAGAUGCACUGUUACCAGAACAACACAGACCAUCCCUACAUGUUCUGGUACAGGCAGCAGAGAGGGAAGGAGCCCGUGCUGAUGGCUACUCUCGUAGCUGGCUCUCCGAGCUACGAACCUGGGUUUGAUUCUGGCUUUGGAGUGUCAAGCUCUGAGAAAAAGAUGUGGUCUCUGGCCGUGGAGGCGGUGCGCAUUACUGACGAGGCGGUGUAUCUGUGCGCUGCCAGUCAGCACGGUGCUGCAGAGUCACGGAGCUCUGAGACAAUAUCCCUCCCUGGGAGGGUGCCAGGAGGCUCUGACACCUGCUGUUCAUGGCCCAGCCUGCUCACUGGUGUCUGA
Non-coding RNA from Osmerus eperlanus (European smelt), 474 nucleotides. The record is from the annotation of a RefSeq genome assembly. NCBI's taxonomy places the organism in Eukaryota, Metazoa, Chordata, Actinopteri, Osmeriformes, Osmeridae.